CUAACAUGCCCGCAAGUGUUUGGGUGUCAAACCCAAGCGCGUAAUGAAAGUGAAAGUUGAGAUCCCUGUCAUAGGGAGCAUCGAUGCCCAGACCAGACCUUUUGUGAUGGAUCUGCGGUAGAGCAUGUAUGUUGG
This 135-nucleotide non-coding RNA is filed under the name Piloderma croceum F 1598. Its description in RNAcentral is "Eukaryotic large subunit ribosomal RNA". It matches the Rfam family "Eukaryotic large subunit ribosomal RNA", at positions 675 to 812 of the family's 3401-position model. The record is from Rfam by way of RNAcentral. Lineage: Eukaryota; Fungi; Basidiomycota; Agaricomycetes; Atheliales; Atheliaceae.